RNAcentral lists this small nuclear RNA (180 nucleotides) under Crocodylus porosus (Australian saltwater crocodile). Its description in RNAcentral is "U1 spliceosomal RNA (ENSCPRG00005007285.1)". Lineage: Eukaryota; Metazoa; Chordata; Crocodylia; Crocodylidae. The record is from RNAcentral.
AUACUUACCUGGCAGGGGAAAUACCAUGAUCAUCACUAAGGCGGUUUUCCUAGUUGCUGGGGAUAACUGCUUUUCUGGCAUAAGCUAGUAUCCUUGGAGGUAAUGUAUAAACCUCCCACUUUCUCUUCCAGUGGGAAGAUCUUGGCUUCAUGCCCAUUUUAUGGAAGUGGGAGACUCUUC